RNAcentral lists this ribosomal RNA (414 nucleotides) under Triticum aestivum (bread wheat). RNAcentral describes it as "partial small subunit ribosomal RNA". Lineage: Eukaryota; Viridiplantae; Streptophyta; Magnoliopsida; Poales; Poaceae. The record is from RNAcentral.
AUGGUCCAAAGUUUGUCUUUCCUUCCUUCUUUGGCCGAGAUCCGUUGCCCCUACACCUCACCUUCUCUUCAUAUCCUCUGCUGGAGAUGCAGUUGGGGCACGCCAUGGGAGUUCCCCAUCCACCACGGUCGCCGCCGUCAAGGAAUUCUUCAAGGAGAUGUCAAGGACACCAUGGACAUGCAGCUCCUCAAGCGGAGGAUCACAGAUUCACAGAUCUCUGGCGGCCGCUUAGCCGCCCUCCGGAUCGGGACGCCAUCGACAGACUCCUCACCGACCUUCGUUCGUUGGCCUUCCGCCUGGCACCUCCGCUCCCGCCGCCACCCCCGGAGCCCGACUAGUGGAUGUUCCCCUCCUGGCGCGUGUGCCUUUUUGGCUGUGUGUGUUGGGCUUGUUGAGCUGUGCCCUCAGCAUUAA